This 206-nucleotide ribosomal RNA is filed under the name uncultured bacterium. Its description in RNAcentral is "partial 16S ribosomal RNA". It matches the Rfam family "Bacterial small subunit ribosomal RNA", at positions 568 to 774 of the family's 1533-position model. The record is from RNAcentral.
AGCGCAGGCGGUUUUUUAAGUCUGAUGUGAAAGCCUUCGGCUCAACCGAAGAAGUGCAUCGGAAACUGGGAAACUUGAGUGCAGAAGGGGACAGUGGAACUCCAUGUGUAGCGGUGAAAUGCGUAGAUAUAUGGAAGAACACCAGUGGCGAAGGCGGCUGUCUGGUCUGUAACUGACGCUGAGGCUCGAAAGUAUGGUAGCAAACA